This 723-nucleotide non-coding RNA is filed under the name Pan troglodytes (chimpanzee). The record is from RNAcentral. Lineage: Eukaryota; Metazoa; Chordata; Mammalia; Primates; Hominidae.
CAGAUUCAGAGCCCCAGCCUGUUCAUAAAAAAAAUCAGAUGAAUUUUGUCUGCGGAACAUUCUGCAAAAAUAUCUGACCAGGAAAGAUAAAUAUGCAAAAAGUCACACACACAGGAAAUGAUUAAUACAAUUUUAUGGCAUCAAAAGAUACCAUUGAUAAAGUAAAACACAAGUCACGAACUAGGGGAAAGAAGAUGAGGUAGCAUCCAAAAUACAUGAAGAAAUCUUGUAAGUCUAUUAAAAGACUAUACGACCUAACAGAAAGAAGCAGCAAAAGCCAUGAAAAGAGCUGGGGAUUGUGGUAUGUGCCUUUAGUCCUAGCUACUCCGGAGGCUGAGGCAGGAGGAUCACUUGAGCCCAGGACUUUGAGGCCGCUGUAAGCUAUGAUCAUGCCACUGCACUCCAGCUCAGGCAACAGUGAGACCCGGUCUCAACAAACAAAAGAAAAUAAAAGAAUGGUAGACAAGGAAAGCAGUUGAACAGCUAUGUGAGAAGCCUACUUUCUCUUCAUGUAACACGUUGGCCUAAGAGAUCUAUAGAGCUUUUUAAAAACAAAGAAGGCAGCAAGAUUUAAAAUAAUAAAACCAGCAAUAGGUAUUUUUAAAAGUGAGAGAAACUAUCAGAGAGCUGUAGCAGAAAAGCAAGUUAAAAAUAAAGGAAACAGAAAAGGAACUGAUACAGCUGAUUUGAUACUAGAAAAAUCACCCAGGAGGCGGCGUGGAG